GAUUGAUAUCUUAGUUUAUCACAACAGUAUUAAACCAACUGAACAAAAGUUAUUUGGCAACCACUUCGAAAGCCCGGAUGCUACAAUUUACCACAAUGACAUUAAACCAACAGAACAGAAGUUAUUUGGCAACCACUUCGAGUCAAGCCCUGAUGCUACAAUUUACCUCAACGAUAUUAAACCAACUGAACAGAAGUUAUUUGGCAACCACUUCGAGUCAAGCCCGGACGCUACAAUUUACCACAACGAUAUUAAACCAACUGAACAGAAGUUAUUUGGCAACCACUUCGAGUCAAGCCCGGAUGCUACAAUUUACCACAACGAUAUUAAACCAGGUGAACAGAAGUUCUUUGGCAACCACUUCGAGUCAAGCCCGGAUGCUACAAUUUACCACAACGAUAUUAAACCAAUUGAAAUGAUUAAAUCUUUUGUUAGCAAAUUCUUGUCAAACCCUGAUGCUACAAUUUAUCAUGAGUAACCAGACUCUGCUUUCAAUCGUGUGGAGAGAG
RNAcentral lists this long non-coding RNA (509 nucleotides) under Citrus maxima (pomelo). Its description in RNAcentral is "long non-coding RNA (CMAX_LNC003336)". The record is from RNAcentral. Lineage: Eukaryota; Viridiplantae; Streptophyta; Magnoliopsida; Sapindales; Rutaceae.